This 251-nucleotide ribosomal RNA is filed under the name uncultured bacterium. RNAcentral describes it as "partial 16S ribosomal RNA". It matches the Rfam family "Bacterial small subunit ribosomal RNA", at positions 525 to 775 of the family's 1533-position model. The record is from RNAcentral.
ACGUAGGGGGCAAGCGUUAUCCGGAUUUACUGGGUGUAAAGGGAGCGCAGGCGGCAUGAUAAGUCUGAUGUGAAAACCCAAGGCUCAACCAUGGGACUGCAUUGGAAACUGUCGUGCUAGAGUGUCGGAGAGGUAAGCGGAAUUCCUAGUGUAGCGGUGAAAUGCGUAGAUAUUAGGAGGAACACCAGUGGCGAAGGCGGCUUACUGGACGAUGACUGACGCUGAGGCUCGAAAGCGUGGGGAGCAAACAG